UACGGAGGGUGCGAGCGUUGUCCGGAAUCACUGGGCGUAAAGGGCGCGUAGGUGGCUCGUUAAGUGGUCGGUGAAAUCCCGGGGCUCAACUCCGGGGCUGCCGGUCAGACUGGCGGGCUAGAGCACGGUAGGGGCAGAUGGAAUUCCCGGUGUAGCGGUGGAAUGCGUAGAUAUCGGGAAGAACACCAGUGGCGAAGGCGUUCUGCUGGGCCGUUGCUGACACUGAGGCGCGACAGCGUGGGGAGCAAACAGG
Molecule: ribosomal RNA, 253 nt
Filed under: uncultured bacterium
Lineage: Bacteria
Description: partial 16S ribosomal RNA
Rfam family: Bacterial small subunit ribosomal RNA
Source: RNAcentral